RNAcentral lists this ribosomal RNA (253 nucleotides) under uncultured bacterium. Its description in RNAcentral is "partial 16S ribosomal RNA". It matches the Rfam family "Bacterial small subunit ribosomal RNA", at positions 524 to 776 of the family's 1533-position model. The record is from RNAcentral.
UACGUAGGGGGCUAGCGUUGUCCGGAAUCAUUGGGCGUAAAGAGCGUGUAGGCGGUCCGGUAAGUCCGCUGUGGAAGUCGGGGGCUCAACCCUCGAAUGCCGGUGGAUACUGUCGGGCUAGAGUGCGGAAGAGGCGAGUGGAAUUCCUGGUGUAGCGGUGAAAUGCGCAGAUAUCAGGAGGAACACCUAUUGCGAAGGCAGCUCGCUGGGACGUAACUGACGCUGAGACGCGAAAGCGUGGGGAGCAAACAGG